RNAcentral lists this ribosomal RNA (491 nucleotides) under uncultured bacterium. RNAcentral describes it as "SSU rRNA". It matches the Rfam family "Bacterial small subunit ribosomal RNA", at positions 26 to 518 of the family's 1533-position model. The record is from RNAcentral.
AGGACGAACGCUGGCGGCGUGCUUAACACAUGCAAGUGGAGCGACGAACCGGGGCUUGCCCCGGGGCAGAGCCGCGAACGGGUGAGUAACACGUGGGUUACCUGCCCCAAUGACCGGGACAACCCAAGGAAACUCGGGCUAAUACCGGAUGUGGUCUUCGGACGAAAGGAAGCUUCGGCCUCCGCAUUGGGAUGGGCCCGCGGCGCAUUAGCUUGUUGGUGGGGUAACGGCCUACCAAGGCGACGAUGCGUAGCUGGUCUGAGAGGACGAUCAGCCACACUGGGACUGAGACACGGCCCAGACUCCUACGGGAGGCAGCAGUGGGGAAUCUUGCGCAAUGCGCGAAAGCGUGACGCAGCAACGCCGCGUGGGGGAAGAAGGCCUUCGGGUUGUAAACCUCUUUCAGUUGGGACGAAGGGCUCGCGGUUAAUAGCCGUGGAGUUUGACGGUACCUUCAGAAGAAGCCCGGCUAACUACGUGCCAGCAGCCGC